This 588-nucleotide ribosomal RNA is filed under the name Morchella americana. RNAcentral describes it as "eukaryotic LSU rRNA". It matches the Rfam family "Eukaryotic large subunit ribosomal RNA", at positions 52 to 652 of the family's 3401-position model. Lineage: Eukaryota; Fungi; Ascomycota; Pezizomycetes; Pezizales; Morchellaceae. The record is from RNAcentral.
GGAGGAAAAGAAACCAACAGGGAUUGCCUCAGUAACGGCGAGUGAAGCGGCAAAAGCUCAAAUUUUAAAGCUGGCACCUCCGGUGUCCGCGUUGUAAUUUUGUGAGGCAUCUCCGGGUGGGGCGCCGGCCUAAGUUCCUUGGAACAGGACGUCAUAGAGGGUGAGAAUCCCGUGCUUGGCUGGCUGUCCCCGUCCAUGUGAGGUGUCUUCGACGAGUCGAGUUGUUUGGGAAUGCAGCUCAAAAUGGGUGGUAAAUUUCAUCUAAAGCUAAAUAUUGGUGGGAGACCGAUAGCGCACAAGUAGAGUGAUCGAAAGAUGAAAAGCACUUUGAAAAUAGAGUUAAAAAGUACGUGAAAUUGUUGAAAGGGAAGCGCUUGAGACCAGACUUCGGUGGGGAGUGAUCAGCCGUCCUUCUGGGCGGUGCACUUGCCCCCCUCCGGGCCAGCAUCGGUUGGGACGGCGGGAUAAAGGUCCCGGGAAUGUGGCUCCUCUCGGGGAGUGUUAUAGCCCGGGUGAAUGCCGCCAGCCCCGACCGAGGACCGCGCCUUCGGGCUAGGAUGCUUGGCAUAAUGGUCUUCAGCGACCCGU